ACGGCGCUGCAUCAGGCAGCUCUCUGUGGAAAGACUGAGGUGGUGAGACUGCUGUUGGAUAGUGGCAUCAGUGCUGGGGUGAGGAACACUCUGUGUCAGACGGCUCUGGACAUCGUUAAUCAGUUCACCGCCACACAGGCCAGCAGAGAGAUCAAACAGCUGCUGAGAGAUGCGUCAGCUGCGAUGCAGGUCAGAGCUCUGACAGAGUACUGCAACAACUACGACCUGACGAGCCUCAACAUCAAGACUGGAGACAUCAUCACGGUUCUGGAGCAGCAUUCUGACGGCCGGUGGAAGGGUUGUAUCCAUGACAACCGGACAGGAAAUGACCGCGUCGGCUACUUCCCCUCCAGCAUGGUGGAGGUGAUCAGCAAGAGGCCAGG
Oncorhynchus gorbuscha (pink salmon) is the source of this 383-nucleotide long non-coding RNA. RefSeq lists it as uncharacterized. The record is from RefSeq and is a predicted model, not a curated record. The transcript has 4 exons. NCBI's taxonomy places the organism in Eukaryota, Metazoa, Chordata, Actinopteri, Salmoniformes, Salmonidae.